Anser brachyrhynchus (Pink-footed goose) is the source of this 1560-nucleotide long non-coding RNA. The record is from Ensembl. Lineage: Eukaryota; Metazoa; Chordata; Aves; Anseriformes; Anatidae.
UUUCUAUAUUUCAUUAAAAAUGAUAAAACAUGAAACCUCAAAUGCAAAACAUUUUGAUUCAGGAUGGCAUGAUGUUUCCUGGAGUUAUAGUCUGCUUACUUUGUGAUCUAAUUCUCCUCUAUAGAACAGAUCUUCUGGCUAAGCUACAUAUUUUUGGAAUAUGGAAGGUAUCAUGAAAUUUGCAAUGCAGACAGAGAACACAGAAUAUAAGGUGUUGGAUCUACACCUGCCAUUAGGAAUCAGUAUUCUCAGUAUUCCACCUUCUGUGCUCUGCUGAAAAGGGCAAAGGUAUGUCUGUGCCCACCUGAGACCUGCGCUGGCGUGUAUUUAGAUGCCUCUCUGUUUUCAAGGACCUAACCUAGCCUAUUCUAACACUGGGGAAAAGAAGGAUGUUAUGGCACCGUGGCAAGCAGGGCAUAUUCCAUACCGACCAUUGUUAAUAAUUGUACUAACUAUGGCAGAACGACCAGAAAUAAAAGAGAUACAGUUCCAUUCCCCACUCACGUGGUCUCAUGGUCCCAUUAAGUGAAAGCUAGCAGACAACAGGGAAGCAACUCCAAAUAAAAAGAAAGUUCUGACAACUGAAACCUGAGUCCUUGGAGGAGCACUGGUGGCAUGUUUAAUCAUAACUGGAAUCUUUGGAAAACUUUUCUUUCAUCUAAGGAGACAAUCUCUUUUUUUUUUUUUUUCUGCCAGCACAGCAGACUAUGACAUAUUUUCACAACUUGGAAAUAGCUUAAUGAUCUGCUGAUUUCUCUGUAAUGUCUCCCAGAAUUCAGUCUAAAUUAUCAUGAGAGAGAAUCACACGAACAUCUAAUUGAGCCUUGUUUUGCAGAAACUUAUGGUUUUUAUUUUCAUAGUUGAAGGUGUCAGAGAACUGUUUCAAUAUUUUGUUUACUUUCUGACCUGCAUAGUUUACUAAGAAUAGCUGAAAUAUAAACAGUGUAAUUUAUACUACACACUAUAAACAGUGUAAUUUAAUAAUAAUCAUACGGUGACUUUUGUUUAACCUAUGAAAAAGUACUCCAAACAUAACCAUCAUCUGACAGUUUUCACUUUUGUCUUGAACAAAAAAAGGUUUCCAUGCAAUAGCACAGGAUUUUUCCACUCUGUGAGAAAGCACUGAUCCUUUCUAUCUUGCUACUUCAUAAGUCUACAGCCAACAAAGCGAGUCCAGUCUGACGUGAUUAAAACUAAAUUGACUUGAAUGUAUUUAUAGCCCAGUACCUGGGCCAGAGCACCAAACAUCCCCACCAAACACACGCAGUACCCACCCACCACAUCUUCCCUGGCUGUAAUGAGGUAGGCGGGUAAUUAUGCUGAAAUAGAGACAUCUGACCGGAUGUGAGUGUAGACUAUCCUUCCAAAAAAAAACCUUCCCAUAUUGAAGACGGAAUAAUGCAAAACAAUUCCAAACCCCCAAAUUCACAAGAGCUUCUCUAGCUGAUUCUCUUAUAAUACAUAUGCCGGAAGAUCUAAAAGUGUAACUGUUACUGUUGUGAAAUAUAUUCAAAAGAGAACUUGAAUUCCUAUGGCGCUUCAAGUUUAUAGGCUUUUUAA